AAGGGUAUAGCUCAAGUGGUAGAGCGCAUGCUUAGCAUGCAUGAGGUCCUGGGUUCAAUCCCCAGUACCUCCU
RNAcentral lists this transfer RNA (73 nucleotides) under Camelus bactrianus (Bactrian camel). It matches the Rfam family "tRNA". From Rfam's summary of the family: Transfer RNA (tRNA) molecules are approximately 80 nucleotides in length. Their secondary structure includes four short double-helical elements and three loops (D, anti-codon, and T loops). Further hydrogen bonds mediate the characteristic L-shaped molecular structure. tRNAs have two regions of fundamental functional importance: the anti-codon, which is responsible for specific mRNA codon recognition, and the 3' end, to which the tRNAs corresponding amino acid is attached (by aminoacyl-tRNA synthetases). tRNAs cope with the degeneracy of the genetic code in two manners: having more than one tRNA (with a specific anti-codon) for a particular amino acid; and 'wobble' base-pairing, i.e. permitting non-standard base-pairing at the 3rd anti-codon position. Lineage: Eukaryota; Metazoa; Chordata; Mammalia; Artiodactyla; Camelidae. The record is from Rfam by way of RNAcentral. RNAcentral also lists the same sequence under 2 other names.